Humulus lupulus (European hop) is the source of this 782-nucleotide long non-coding RNA. RefSeq lists it as uncharacterized. The record is from RefSeq and is a predicted model, not a curated record. Lineage: Eukaryota; Viridiplantae; Streptophyta; Magnoliopsida; Rosales; Cannabaceae. The transcript has 2 exons.
UUCAGAUCAUAUUUUCGUUUUAGAGAGAGAGAGAGGAAGAGAGAGAGAGAGAGAGAGAGAGAGAGGAGUAGAAGAAGAAUUUUCUGGGCAGAUUGUUUUAAAGGUUUAAUAAGCACGAAAUGAAAGUUAACCAUUCCUAGCAAGGAUUUAAGGUAAGAAAUAUGGCACAUGCAGCUAGAGUUGGGCAUCAGCCUUGAUAUUUGAACGCAGUUAUAAUCGUGCUUUGAAUCUGUUUAUGGAUUAUAUAGCCCUAUUUUAUAAUUGUAUCGGUUGCAUUUGAUUUCUCAAUGUUUAUCUGUGGUGGAUCAGCAUAAGUCGUAUUCAGCAAUAGCAUGCAGAAUGCAAGCCAUGAUGGCGGGGCCACCCCGAGGGUGUCGUACCCACUCGCUCGGCAUGGGCCGUUUAUAUGAUUUUUAUGUUGAAAUGAAUUAUUCGUUAUUUCUUAGUAUGUCAUGUGUUGUUUAUGCUUGAAUAAAUGUUUACGAUGCCUUGUUGGGUUUUCUUGUUGGGUCUUGGCUAAUGGAUGCUCUAUGGUGCAUGUAAGGGCGACAGAAAAGUCAAUCAACCAUGAGUUGGAGGGCUUUAGAGCGGCGCUUACAUGUUCGACCUCCUUAGCCGCCACAGUCGGGAUAUUUUUAAGGGAGUAAGAGUAUAAGUCCAUUUUGUCGCUUAUGUCGACUAUUUUGUAAACCCUAAAUGUAAUUAUAUUCUGGUAAUUUUUUUUGGGAUCACAUGUAAAUGUUUACAGUUUUAAUGGAAAAGUUUAUAUCUGUGACCAAAAA